CUUGAACAUUAUUAUAGAUAGAGAUAAACUGUAAACAGCAAUAAUGUUCAGCAAAGUAAGAUUUACAAAUAAGUCAACAUGACUGAAAAGGUCAGUUGACCCCUUUAGGAGUUAUUGCCCUUUAUCGUCAAUUUUUAACCCAUGUUUCGUAAAUCUUAGUAAUCUUUUACAAAAAUCUUCUCCUCUGAAACUACUGGGCCUAAUUAAUCCAAACUUGGCCA
RNAcentral lists this long non-coding RNA (221 nucleotides) under Mytilus galloprovincialis (Mediterranean mussel). Lineage: Eukaryota; Metazoa; Mollusca; Bivalvia; Mytilida; Mytilidae. The record is from RNAcentral.